Molecule: transfer RNA, 72 nt
Filed under: Betaproteobacteria bacterium
Lineage: Bacteria; Pseudomonadati; Pseudomonadota; Betaproteobacteria
Description: tRNA-Arg
Rfam family: tRNA
About the family: Transfer RNA (tRNA) molecules are approximately 80 nucleotides in length. Their secondary structure includes four short double-helical elements and three loops (D, anti-codon, and T loops).
Source: RNAcentral
GGCCCCAUAGUUAAAUGGAUAUAACGGGUGACUUCUAAUCUCCAGUUAGAGGUUCGAUUCCUCUUGGGGCUA